GGGUUGUGAGGUUAAGCGACUAAGCGUACACGGUGGAUGCCCUGGCAGUCAGAGGCGAUGAAGGACGUGCUAAUCUGCGAUAAGCGCCGGUAAGGUGAUAUGAACCGUUAUAACCGGCGAUUUCCGAAUGGGGAAACCCAGUGUGAUUCGUCACACUAUCAUUAACUGAAUCCAUAGGUUAAUGAGGCGAACCGGGGGAACUGAAACAUCUAAGUACCCCGAGGAAAAGAAAUCAACCGAGAUUCCCCCAGUAGCGGCGAGCGAACGGGGAGGAGCCCAGAGCCUGAAUCAGCAUGUGUGUUAGUGGAAGCGUCUGGAAAGGCGCGCGAUACAGGGUGACAGCCCCGUACACAAAAGCGCAUGUGCUGUGAGCUCGAUGAGUAGGGCGGGACACGUGGUAUCCUGUCUGAAUAUGGGGGGACCAUCCUCCAAGGCUAAAUACUCCUGACUGACCGAUAGUGAACCAGUACCGUGAGGGAAAGGCGAAAAGAACCCCGGCGAGGGGAGUGAAAAAGAACCUGAAACCGUGUACGUACAAGCAGUGGGAGCCCCACCACUAAGCCAGUGGUGAACUCCACAUCCGCAUCCUUUGCUGAGGAUACGGUUAACGGAGCGAAAGCGACGUUCAACCGCAAAACAAGCAGAGGGGGCUUAGUGGUGGGGUGACUGCGUACCUUUUGUAUAAUGGGUCAGCGACUUAUAUUCUGUAGCAAGGUUAACCGUAUAGGGGAGCCGGAGGGAAACCGAGUCUUAAUUGGGCGUUAAGUUGCAGGGUAUAGACCCGAAACC
RNAcentral lists this ribosomal RNA (789 nucleotides) under Salmonella enterica subsp. enterica serovar Typhimurium. RNAcentral's name for it is "partial 23S ribosomal RNA". It matches the Rfam family "Bacterial large subunit ribosomal RNA", at positions 1 to 722 of the family's 2925-position model. The record is from RNAcentral. Lineage: Bacteria; Pseudomonadati; Pseudomonadota; Gammaproteobacteria; Enterobacterales; Enterobacteriaceae.